This 348-nucleotide unclassified non-coding RNA is filed under the name soil metagenome. Its description in RNAcentral is "partial contains 5.8S ribosomal RNA, internal transcribed spacer 2, and large subunit ribosomal RNA". The stretch from base 1 to 120 matches the Rfam family "5.8S ribosomal RNA", at positions 35 to 154 of the family's 154-position model. The record is from RNAcentral.
GAUGAAGAACGUAGCGAAAUGCGAUAAGUAAUGUGAAUUGCAGAAUUCAGUGAAUCAUCGAAUCUUUGAACGCACAUUGCGCCCCCUGGUAUUCCGGGGGGCAUGCCUGUCCGAGCGUCAUUGCUGCCCUCAAGCACGGCUUGUGUGUUGGGCCCCCGCCCCCCGGCUUCGGGGGGCGGGCCCGAAAGGCAGCGGCGGCACCGCGUCCGGUCCUCGAGCGUAUGGGGCUUCGUCACCCGCUCUGUAGGCCCGGCCGGCGCCCGCCGGCGACCCCAAUCAAUCUUUCCAGGUUGACCUCGGAUCAGGUAGGGAUACCCGCUGAACUUAAGCAUAUCAAUAAGCGGAGGA